RNAcentral lists this ribosomal RNA (381 nucleotides) under uncultured Hydrogenoanaerobacterium sp. Its description in RNAcentral is "bacterial SSU rRNA". It matches the Rfam family "Bacterial small subunit ribosomal RNA", at positions 355 to 751 of the family's 1533-position model. The record is from RNAcentral. Lineage: Bacteria; Bacillati; Bacillota; Clostridia; Eubacteriales; Oscillospiraceae.
UGGGGGAUAUUGCACAAUGGGGGGAAACCCUGAUGCAGCGACGCCGCGUGUGGGAAGACGGUCCUCUGGAUUGUAAACCACUGUCCUCAGGGACGAACAAGGACGGUACCUGAGGAGGAAGCUCCGGCUAACUACGUGCCAGCAGCCGCGGUAAUACGUAGGGAGCAAGCGUUGUCCGGAAUUACUGGGUGUAAAGGGAGCGUAGGCGGGACCGCAAGUUGGAUGUGAAAUCUACCGGCUCAACUGGUAGCUGCAUUCAAAACUGCGAUUCUUGAGUGAAGUAGAGGCAGGCGGAAUUCCUAGUGUAGCGGUGAAAUGCGUAGAUAUUAGGAGGAACACCAGUGGCGAAGGCGGCCUGCUGGGCUUUUACUGACGCUGAGG